Molecule: ribosomal RNA, 407 nt
Filed under: Acanthamoeba sp. CHI1503
Lineage: Eukaryota; Discosea; Longamoebia; Acanthamoebidae
Also listed under: 1 other name
Description: SSU rRNA
Rfam family: Eukaryotic small subunit ribosomal RNA
Source: RNAcentral
UUUUCUGCCACCGAAUACAUUAGCAUGGGAUAAUGGAAUAGGACCCUGUCCUCCUAUUUUCAGUUGGUUUUGGCAGCGCGAGGACUAGGGUAAUGAUUAAUAGGGAUAGUUGGGGGCAUUAAUAUUUAAUUGUCAGAGGUGAAAUUCUUGGAUUUAUGAAAGAUUAACUUCUGCGAAAGCAUCUGCCAAGGAUGUUUUCAUUAAUCAAGAACGAAAGUUAGGGGAUCGAAGACGAUCAGAUACCGUCGUAGUCUUAACCAUAAACGAUGCCGACCAGCGAUUAGGAGACGUUGAAUACAAAACACCACCAUCGGCGCGGUCGUCCUUGGCGUCGGUCUUUCGGGGCCGGCGCGGGGACGGCUUAGCCCGGUGGCACCGGUGAAUGACUCCCCUAGCAGCUUGUGAGA